AUGAAGCUAGAAAUUUCUUACAGUUGCAUUCAUAUAAAUCUACUAAUACAUACUGAAUUUGUGUGUUUUUUAAGGUGGGAAAGUGAAUGUUCAACUUGCGAAAAGGUCCUCAUCUCAAUCUGAACCUUCAAGUCCAGUUUCUUGAACAGCAUCGAUGUCUCCUAUAAGCAGUUUAGGGUCACCAAGCUCGAUAGUCUUUGAGAACAGCACCAACACAGAUCCAAACUGGGCUUACAAGGUUGAUAUUCCAUGGACCAAAAUGGGCAGAGAUAUAACAGAUCCAUUGCAGAAAGGGAAAAGAUUCAUGCCUGAUGCCAGGAGAAAACAUUGUUGAAUCAUUGUUGAUGAAAUCAGAGAGAGGACCUUUCAUGCGACAAAAACACAGUUCAGUGUCAUUGCAAUUGAAUUGUACAGAGGUUUCCAAAGAGUCUAGAGGAUAGGAUAGAAUAUAUCGUUGUAGGAACAGGAUAUGAUUCAUUCGCAAAGCAGCUCCUUAACAGAAAUGACAAUGGGAGUGAAGAUGGGUGUGAAGACAAGUGACGUAGGAGAAUCAAGUGGGAAAAGAAAUGCUCCUCAGGAAGUCCAAGUACACUAUUUGACACACCAUAUUGUUCAAGCUCUAGGUUUGUAAUAAAAAAACUUCACAAACCUUC
Molecule: long non-coding RNA, 653 nt
Organism: Haliotis rubra (blacklip abalone)
Lineage: Eukaryota; Metazoa; Mollusca; Gastropoda; Lepetellida; Haliotidae
Exons: 2
Source: RefSeq, a predicted model, not a curated record